GAUGAGAGAGGUAGAUGGAAUUCCUAAUGUAGGGGUAAUAUCCGUAGAUAUAGGGAGGAACACCGAUGGCGUAAGCAGUCUACUGGCUCAUUCUUGACACUAAGGCACGAAAGCGUGGGUAGCAAACAGGAUUAGAUACCCUGGUAGUCCACGCCGUAAACUAUGGAUGCUAGCUGUAAGGAGUAUCGACCCUCCUUGUAGCGAAGCUAACGCGUUAAGCAUCCCGCCUGUGGAGUACGGUCGCAAGACUAAAACAUAAAGGAAUUGACGGGGACCCGCACAAGCGGUGGAGCGUGUUGUUUAAUUCGAUGGUAAGCGAAGAACCUUACCCAGGUUUGACAUCCCGAGAAGGUUUCCGAAAGGAAAUUGUGCCGUAAGGAAUUCGGUGACAGGUGUUGCAUGGCCGUCGUCAGCUCGUGUCGUGAGAUGUUAGGUUAAGUCCUUCAACGAGCGCAACCCUUAUAGUUAGUUGUAUUUUUCUAGCUAGACUGCCCUGGUAACAGGGAGGAAGGGGGGGAUGAUGUCAGGUCAGUAUUACCCUUACACCUGGGGCUACAAACACGCUACAAUGGCCGGUACAAAGGGCAGCCAAGUCGCAAGACGGAGCAAAUCCCAUCAAAGCCGGUCUCAGUUCGGAUAGCAGGCUGAAACUCGCCUGCUUGAAGCUGGAAUCGCUAGUAACGGUAGGUCAGCACACUACCGUGAAUACGUUCCCGGGUCUUGUACACACCGCCCGUCAAGCCAUGAAAGUCGCCAAUACCUGACGUGCCAGCUCUGCCUGGCCCUAAGGUAGGGGAGAUGAUUGGGGUUA
Molecule: ribosomal RNA, 811 nt
Filed under: uncultured bacterium
Lineage: Bacteria
Description: bacterial SSU rRNA
Rfam family: Bacterial small subunit ribosomal RNA
Source: RNAcentral